GAAAGAAGAAUCUUUAACCUCUGCUCGUCUGAAAGGACCUUUCCAAAGCCAGCCCUCCUGAGGCAGCAGCCUGGGCCCCCUCCUGGCUCAGCUCAGCCCUGGAGCGCCUCACUCAGCCGCAGCUCCCACCAGUCAAACCCACAAUGACACCUUUGGAAAGGACCCAACUACCAGGCUAAAUCAAUAGAUUACCUGGAAGCUGUAUUCUGGAAAGAUGUUACCCCAAAUGGUAAAGGUGAUAAUGAGGACGAUGAAGAUGACAACCACAACUGCCAGCAUUUCUUGAGUGCCAGCCGUGCCCCCGGAACUGUGGAUGUACCAGGCUGCAGGCUCCAGCGCAGAGAAGGAGAAGACGGAGGCGGUGGUGAUGUCAACCAAGGAAUUAAGUAAGCAGAGGAGCUGAUAACACUGCCCGACAAGCCCUGCUGUGGGCAAGGUGACUCAUCAGAGACGGGCCCCACAUCACAGGCCCCAGGGGCGCCGCGUACUGUUGUCCAAGUUGAGAACUGUACAACUGGAGGGGGCACCAUUCACCGUCCAACGCAUGUGCCAGACCGCAUGGCUGUACCUGAUGGCCCCGCCCCUUCUCAUUUCUAAAUUACUUCUCACUCCCCUCCUCCGCCUAGAAUGAUCUAUUUAGCUUGCCCUUGAUAAGUUUGUCUUCACACCAAACUUUCCCCCAUAAACAUAAACUUCCUCCUCUACUGCCUGACUCCUUUUGUUCAUUCGUUCAUUCCACAAAAAAUUGUUGAGUUUGUGCCAGGUACUGUUCUAGGCAAGUGAACCAGACAGACCCUCCCUGAGCUCAUGGAGCUCACAUCUAGGGGGUGCUGGGUUGGAGGGGUGGAAUAAAUAAAUAAUUUGUGACAUAAAACUGCAAGUGACAGUAAGUGCAGUGAAGAAGAAUGAAGCCAGGCCAGGAGGAGGAGGGUGACAGGGCCCUACUUCACC
Molecule: long non-coding RNA, 951 nt
Filed under: Equus caballus (horse)
Lineage: Eukaryota; Metazoa; Chordata; Mammalia; Perissodactyla; Equidae
Description: lncRNA (ENSECAG00000053703.1)
Source: RNAcentral